RNAcentral lists this ribosomal RNA (468 nucleotides) under uncultured bacterium. Its description in RNAcentral is "partial 16S ribosomal RNA". It matches the Rfam family "Bacterial small subunit ribosomal RNA", at positions 28 to 507 of the family's 1533-position model. The record is from RNAcentral.
GACGAACGCUGGCGGCGUGCUUAACACAUGCAAGUCGAACGGAAAGGCCCUGCUUUUGUGGGGUGCUCGAGUGGCGAACGGGUGAGUAACACGUGAGUAACCUGCCCUUGACUUUGGGAUAACUUCAGGAAACUGGGUCUAAUACCGGCUAGGAGCUCCUGCUGCAUGGUGGGGGUUGGAAAGUUUCGGCGGUUGGGGAUGGACUCGCGGCUUAUCAGCUUGUUGGUGGGGUAGUGGCUUACCAAGGCUUUGACGGGUAGCCGGCCUGAGAGGGUGACCGGCCACAGUGGGACUGAGAUGCGGCCCAGACUACUACGGGAGGAAGCAGUGGGGAAGAUUGCACAAUGGGCGGAAGCCUGAUGCAGCAACGCCGCGGGCGGGAUGACGGCCUUCGGGUUGUAAACCGCUUUCGCCUGUGACGAAGCGUGAGUGACGGUAAUGGGUAAAGAAGCACCGGCUAACUACGUG